Molecule: small RNA, 123 nt
Filed under: Marmota monax (woodchuck)
Lineage: Eukaryota; Metazoa; Chordata; Mammalia; Rodentia; Sciuridae
Source: RNAcentral
GCCAGGUGCAGUGGUGCACACCUGUAAUCCCAGUGGCUCAGGAGGCUGAGGCAGGAGGAAUGAGAGUUCAAAGCCAAUCUCACAAAAGUGAGGCACUAAGCAACUCUAUGAUACCUGUCUCUA